This 504-nucleotide ribosomal RNA is filed under the name uncultured bacterium. RNAcentral describes it as "partial 16S ribosomal RNA". It matches the Rfam family "Bacterial small subunit ribosomal RNA", at positions 30 to 523 of the family's 1533-position model. The record is from RNAcentral.
AUUGAACGCUGGCGGCAGGCUUAACACAUGCAAGUCGAGCGGAGCGAAGGUGCUUGCACCUUAGCUUAGCGGCGGACGGGUGAGUAAUGCUUAGGAAUCUGCCUAUUAGUGGGGGACAACGUUUCGAAAGGAACGCUAAUACCGCAUACGUCCUACGGGAGAAAGCAGGGGAUCUUCGGACCUUGUGCUAAUAGAUGAGCCUAAGUCGGAUUAGCUAGUUGGUGGGGUAAAGGCCUACCAAGGCGACGAUCUGUAGCGGGUCUGAGAGGAUGAUCCGCCACACUGGGACUGAGACACGGCCCAGACUCCUACGGGAGGCAGCAGUGGGGAAUAUUGGACAAUGGGCGAAAGCCUGAUCCAGUCAUGCCGCGUGUGUGAAGAAGGCCUUUUGGUUGUAAAGCACUUUAAGCGAGGAGGAGGAGCUUCAGGUUAAUACCCUGGAUGCUUGGACGUUACUCGCAGAAUAAGCACCGGCUAACUCUGUGCCAGCCGCCGCCGCGGUAA